Selaginella moellendorffii is the source of this 987-nucleotide long non-coding RNA. RefSeq lists it as uncharacterized. The record is from RefSeq and is a predicted model, not a curated record. The transcript is spliced from 7 exons. Lineage: Eukaryota; Viridiplantae; Streptophyta; Lycopodiopsida; Selaginellales; Selaginellaceae.
CGAUCACGGAAGCGCAUUCUCGGCGCCUGGCAGCAAUCGCUGGCGGCAGUGAGAAGCUGGAUUGAAAGACAUCUCCAAGUGAUUUUCCCGCGCUAGGGUGGGGGGAAAUUAUUUCUAGGGUUUAUGAUCGCGGACGAUCCACGAGUGGAUUGGAGAAGCGCAUUGACGGAUUGGAUUGGAGGUAUGCCACGCUGCUCGCGAGAUUCAAGCGGCCGAAGAUUGGGGCGGGGAUUCCCGUGAAGCCGCCAUUGGCACCAAAGAAGCCGCUGGAUGAUUGGGAUAUUGAGAGUGAUCCCGAGGGGGAUUUCGAGCCGACUAGGAAAUGCAAAUCGCUGCUCAAGAAGAGAUGGGGAUGCUUACCGGACGAAUGCCAUGAUUCUGUAAAGACGCUCCAGAAGAUGGAAUUUUAGUUGGAAAGCAAAGACUCUACGACUACUUGGCUGGUGGAGUAUAUUUUGCACAGCCUGCAACGCGAAGACCCCGCUAUCAACAGGAUUGGAGGAAUUAGAGACAAGGAGGUACGCAUCACCUUUUUGAAAGCCUGGAAUGAUUUUUCUUAGAUGGAAGAAUGCACCAUGAGCUUAUCCAACUUACUGUAGUAGUUGCCACUAUUGUUGAGAGAGAGGAAGAACUAUGGUUAGAAUGAGUUAGUUGGAAAAGAAAUCUAUAAAACAGAUGGUUUGGUGGCCUCAUGUCCGGAAACUUGAACAUUCAGAAUGACAUCCAUUGUUUGCCAUACGAGAUGUUUGACAGAGAGGUCUCAAGGGAAGGAUUUCCAUGAGAGACAAGCUUCCAAUGAAGGAUCCGCUGUGGGAGCAUCAAUCAACGAAAUGUAUCCGUGCUGAGAACCGCUUGAGACGUUUCUUACAAGAUCUAGCCCGGAGAGAUUACAGUGGUAAAGCUUGGAGGGUAUGCAUUUGUUCUCAACUGGAAGUAGCACGAUGAAGGUCAGAUCAUUCCGAGAAUACAGUGUCACAUUCCAACAGC